Molecule: unclassified non-coding RNA, 224 nt
Filed under: uncultured Tomentella
Lineage: Eukaryota; Fungi; Basidiomycota; Agaricomycetes; Thelephorales; Thelephoraceae
Description: sequence contains ITS2
Source: RNAcentral
ACACCUCAACUCCUCAUGGUUUUUCUAUGAUGAGCUUGGACUUUGGGGGUUUGCUGGCCCGUUCGGUCAGCUCCUCUCAAAUGAAUCAGCUUUCCAGUGUUUGGUGGCACCACAGGUGUGAUAACAAUCUACACUUGAGGUUUUCUGCCAGGUAACCUUCAGUAAUGGGGGGGGUUCACUGGGGCUCACAAAUGUCUUUCUUCAGUGAGGACAGCUCUUUGAAU